AGUGUUAUGACCUGGACACUCGGC
Molecule: microRNA, 24 nt
Filed under: Zea mays
Lineage: Eukaryota; Viridiplantae; Streptophyta; Magnoliopsida; Poales; Poaceae
Description: microRNA miR-3131
Source: RNAcentral